ACGGGAGGAUGUCGGGCCGUGAAACGGGGCUCCCUGGCGCGCUCCAAGGAGUGGCUGAGGGCCCCUCCAGAGGAGGGGUGGCAAGAUGGUUGGUGGUCGGUCGACGUGCAAAGAGAGGAGGGUUUGGGGAGUGUGGGUAGAAUGAGCCAUUGAGGGAGGGAAUGUGAAAAGCAUGCAGGUGGGCUGUGCCCGGGCGGGCGCGGGCGGUGCUUGGAAGCAUUGCUUGAAGUGACGUGGGUGAGCGAAGCGCCGUCCGGGUCAGGGUCAUGGAGAGAAAAAGGGCAAGGACAACGUGGGGCCGGGCAAGGGACCUGGGCCACGUCGGGCGGCAGGGGGCGGGCAGCCGGGUGGAGCGUGGCGGCCAGGGCUGGCGGCCACGGGCGAGAGACCAGAACAGACAAGUCGGCAGGGGGAAGCGGGGCGGGGCAGGAGGGCAGGGCCCCCGGCGUGAGCACAGCUGGUUCAGGCUCAGGCCCUGUGGCUUGAGCGCGUGCGCGAGGGCGCCGCCAGCCCGCAGCCCGCAGCCCGCAGCGGCGUGUAAGGCGGGACAGACAGGGCGUCGUCCAGGCCCGGGUGCGGAGAGCCCGCGUUGGGCGGGCCAAAAGGUGGGCGUGUCAGGAGUGGGAUUCGAACCCACGCCUCCAGGGGAGACUGCGACCUGAACGCAGCGCCUUAGACCGCUCGGCCAUCCUGACGGCGGGCCUGGGCGCGCCGCCGCUCGCCUGGCUGGGACCCGGCGCCGACCCCGGAGCUGGCUGGCGGCCGUGUGGGUGCGCGACGGACGGACGGACGGACGGACGGACGGGACUCGCGUCCCGGUCGACGAGGCCAACGGCCCGCCGACUGACUCUGCUGGCGCCGCCGCCCUCGCCGCGGUCCUCGCCGCCGCCCCCUCCCCCUUCCCGGGGCGCGCACCCUGCUGCGGGCGUCCGGCCCCCCGCCGCCCCCGCCGCCCCCGCCGCCCGCCGCGGCCCAUCCCCGGCGCGGGGCCUCCGGCUCGCUCGCGCAGCCCUGCUUGCCGUGUCGGGCGUCUUCUCCCGCCGCCAUCCCCGCGCGGCUGGGCGGGGGCGGCGGCGGGUCCGGGGGCGCGACGCUCCGAGUCGGGCCGGGGGACUGCUGUGCGCGCUGACGCGGCGGCCGGGGGGUCGGGCCG
RNAcentral lists this transfer RNA (1153 nucleotides) under Canis lupus familiaris (dog). Its description in RNAcentral is "lncRNA (ENSCAFG00030020742.1)". Lineage: Eukaryota; Metazoa; Chordata; Mammalia; Carnivora; Canidae. The record is from RNAcentral.